This is a long non-coding RNA of Drosophila willistoni, 247 nucleotides long. RefSeq lists it as uncharacterized. Lineage: Eukaryota; Metazoa; Arthropoda; Insecta; Diptera; Drosophilidae. The transcript has 3 exons. The record is from RefSeq and is a predicted model, not a curated record.
CUUCAAAUCGAAAGUAUUUCGAAAAACCCUUUUAGGAUGAUAUUAUCAUUACUAAAAAGAAUAAUUUAAGCCAAUAAAUUCUUGUUUUAACCAAGAUUAUGCCCUUAAAUUCGCAGCUAAGAGGAUUGGAAGAAGAGGACGCUAAAUUGCGUACAAAUUUUUAAUUAAUGUUUCUUUCCUUGCUUACCUUCAAUGCAAACAACAUGAUCCCUUAUAGAUUGGGCAAUCUGGGCAUCGGAAAGUGGUA